AAAAAUUCAAAGCAUUAAAGAUACAAUUAGAAUCCAUACAUAAAAUAUAUAAGAACAAAAAUCUCAAUUAAAAGAAAUAAAUGUCUCAAAUAGAUUACAUUGUUCGUCCAAAAAUUAAAUUUAGCUACGUGUAUUAAUAAAAGAAAAACAAGAAAUUAUGAAUUCAUCACCCCUAUUAAUUGACGGAACGUGAAUGAUUUUAAUGUUUCGUGUGUGCUGCCUCAAUUUGAUGCCCUUUUCUCCAUUUUCUGUCCCUUUUAUUUAACAGCAGCAGAAAUUUUUUUCCUCCUUUCCUGUUUGUACGUGUAUCUCUCCAAAUAAAAAUUCAGCAGCCACCGAAUUUGAACAAAGAAAAGUGACUCCAGCUGCUUUGAAAUAUGUGCGCGUCUCUGAAUAUCUUAAGACUCAAUUCUGUAAGAAAAUUAUAUAUAAUUGGUUGCCUCUCUCCUCUGCUGCGUGCCUCUGAAAGAAUUGCAGCCACCAAAUUUUGUAUGAAAUAUAUCAAAUUUGCUCCUCUCUCCA
This 522-nucleotide long non-coding RNA is filed under the name Olea europaea (common olive). RNAcentral's name for it is "long non-coding RNA (OEUR_LNC006666)". Lineage: Eukaryota; Viridiplantae; Streptophyta; Magnoliopsida; Lamiales; Oleaceae. The record is from RNAcentral.